Molecule: transfer RNA, 73 nt
Filed under: Felis catus (domestic cat)
Lineage: Eukaryota; Metazoa; Chordata; Mammalia; Carnivora; Felidae
Rfam family: tRNA
About the family: Transfer RNA (tRNA) molecules are approximately 80 nucleotides in length. Their secondary structure includes four short double-helical elements and three loops (D, anti-codon, and T loops).
Source: Rfam by way of RNAcentral
ACCUGGCAAGCUCAGUCAGUGGAGCGUGUGACUCUUGACUGCAGGGUUGUGGGUUCAAGUCCCACACUGGGUG